UGUACAUAGUAAGUUCUAAGCAGCACAAAUUCUUAUUUGACACAAAGAUGUACAAGGCUUCGAUUACUGUGUUUUUGGUAGUUGCUUUCCUGAUCGUUUCUUGUGAUGUGGCGACUAGCCGAAAGACGUAAAAAUUGUGGAAAUAUGGAACAUACAAAUGCAUUUGGAGGUUGUGCUUGUGUGUUUCCUUGUUUGUGUGUUAAGCAUAAAUUCUGCAUAUGCCGUCCACUGAACAAAUACUCGAUCGACCAUGAAGAUAGUGGUUCAGGUGGAAAGCUUUAACCUUGCAAGAAUCUUCAUAUGGUUGUAUUGAAUAUGUGGAGUUUCUACAGGUGAAUCUAAAAAUGUCUCUAUAUGGUUGAUGGAUACUAUGUAUGUGAUUAUGUUUACUUGCUGAAAUAAACUGCAAUAAAGUUAGUCGGUUGCAUCAUGAUCUGAAA
Long non-coding RNA from Lycium ferocissimum, 440 nucleotides. RefSeq lists it as uncharacterized. NCBI's taxonomy places the organism in Eukaryota, Viridiplantae, Streptophyta, Magnoliopsida, Solanales, Solanaceae. The transcript is spliced from 2 exons. The record is from RefSeq and is a predicted model, not a curated record.